RNAcentral lists this ribosomal RNA (292 nucleotides) under uncultured eukaryote. RNAcentral describes it as "partial 18S ribosomal RNA". It matches the Rfam family "Eukaryotic small subunit ribosomal RNA", at positions 6 to 311 of the family's 1831-position model. The record is from RNAcentral.
GGUUGAUCCUGCCAGUAGUCAUAUGCUUGUCUCAAAGAUUAAGCCAUGCAUGUCUCAGUGUAAACUUUUAAACAGUGAAACUGCGAAUGGCUCAUUAAAACAGUUAUAGUUUAUUUGAUACUCAUAAUUACAUGGAUAACCGUGGGAAUUCUAGGGCUAAUACAUGCGUAAACCCUUCGGGGAUGUGUUUAUUAGAAUAAAACCAUCGCAGUCGCAAGGCUGUUCCAAUGGAAUAAUAAUAACCGAACGAAUCGCACGCUUUAUGUGGCGAUAAAUCAUUCAAGUUUCUGAC